GCGCAGCAUUCAGAGGAAAGGCAAGGCUUCUUGGGGUAGGGCUAACAACAGAUCUUUUCCUCCGUUCGAUGAUUGGCUCAGAAAGAGAGUGGAGCUUACUUGUCUACCAUUUCCUAUGGUCGAUCCGUGGUAUCCGUUGGUUGAGGAGACUCCUUCUACUGUUAGUAUGGAUGAGUUCUUAGAGAUGAAGCGGGAACGAGAUCAGCUACUUGCAGAGAAGACGGAAUUGGAGAUGAGUGUUGCUCGGGUUCAGAGAGCUAAUCAGGAGCUCAAAGCAAAGAUGGAAGAUCAGGAUAAGCGGCAUGCUUCGGAGACCAAGCGAUUUGAGAUGGAUACAGCCUAUUAUGGGAAGAUCAGCCAGGCUUUAGC
RNAcentral lists this long non-coding RNA (369 nucleotides) under Lathyrus oleraceus (garden pea). Its description in RNAcentral is "Pisum sativum (pea) long non-coding RNA (PSAT_LNC002334)". The record is from RNAcentral. Lineage: Eukaryota; Viridiplantae; Streptophyta; Magnoliopsida; Fabales; Fabaceae.